Molecule: ribosomal RNA, 497 nt
Filed under: uncultured bacterium
Lineage: Bacteria
Description: partial 16S ribosomal RNA
Rfam family: Bacterial small subunit ribosomal RNA
Source: RNAcentral
GACGAACGCUGGCGGCGUGCCUAAUACAUGCAAGUAGAACGCUGAAGAGAGGAGCUUGCUCUUCUUGGAUGAGUUGCGAACGGGUGAGUAACGCGUAGGUAACCUGCCUUGUAGCGGGGGAUAACUAUUGGAAACGAUAGCUAAUACCGCAUAACAAUGGAUGACACAUGUCAUUUAUUUGAAAGGGGCAAUUGCUCCACUACAAGAUGGACCUGCGUUGUAUUAGCUAGUAGGUGAGGUAAUGGCUCACCUAGGCGACGAUACAUAGCCGACCUGAGAGGGUGAUCGGCCACACUGGGACUGAGACACGGCCCAGACGCCUACGGGAGGCAGCAGUAGGGAAUCUUCGGCAAUGGGGGCAACCCUGACCGAGCAACGCCGCGUGAGGGACGAAGGUUUUCGGCUCGUAAAGCUCUGUUGUAAGUCAAGAACGGGUGUGAGAGUGGAAAGUUCACAAUGUGACGGUAGCUUACCAGAAAGGGACGGCUAACUACGUG